Molecule: ribosomal RNA, 161 nt
Filed under: Leuconostoc mesenteroides
Lineage: Bacteria; Bacillati; Bacillota; Bacilli; Lactobacillales; Lactobacillaceae
Description: partial 16S ribosomal RNA
Rfam family: Bacterial small subunit ribosomal RNA
Source: RNAcentral
GGGCUACACACGUGCUACAAUGGCGUAUACAACGAGUUGCCAACCCGCGAGGGUGAGCUAAUCUCUUAAAGUACGUCUCAGUUCGGAUUGUAGUCUGCAACUCGACUACAUGAAGUCGGAAUCGCUAGUAAUCGCGGAUCAGCACGCCGCGGUGAAUACGU